AAAGUGGCAGAAACCCUAGCCCUCAGCCGCCACACCGCUGACCCCUCCUCCCUCCUCCCUCCUCCCUCCUCCCUCACUCCUCACCGCAGCCGUCGUGCCCCUCCCCACGUAGCCCCAGGACCUCCAUCUCCUCCAUGCGUCCUCGCUGCCGCCGCAGCCUCGGCGCACCCUCUCCUUCAACCCCAUGUGAAAUCGAGCAUCCUGGCGGUGCCUUGACUGAUGCACUGUGAUGGCUAGCGCAGGUGAGCGCCACGCAUGGUGCAGCAGGCUUGGCAGGCAGCGGGCGCGGCGGUCAAGGCCAAGGGCACGUCGAGCGACGAUGACCUCAUCCGCCACCAACAACGAGGUUCCAAAAUGUAUCGAAGAUUGCCGGGGAAUUGAUUACACCAUCUGUGGAAUAUGACAUCGCCCUUUAGGAUAAAGAAGUCUAAGCCUAAAGUCAUCAUGGUUGAGGUUGAUAGUAUAUCUGCUGGUGAUAGCGGUGGAGCUGCUGGUCUUAUUGCAAGAUUCCUAUAGUUUGCAUUUGUAAUGGCAGUUAUAGCAGGAAGCUGAAGAGCACUAUAAAUUACCUAUUUGGUACUCAACUUCAGGAAACCAACAAAUUAGCAGAUACAAGUCCGCUUGCAAUUUUUGGGAGAAUAAACAGUUCCUUUGGGUUCAUCGCUCGGUUUUGUCCCUGCUAUGCUUACUGCUCCUACAUGGCUCUUCAGGGUUAUGGAUGGAGUGCGUUAUUUCGACGGUCCUCUAUUUUUUUUGUUGCGUGUGCCUUCAGGUCCAUCAGGUAUAAGGCGAGUUGUGUCCCUGGUAGAGGUGCAGAUCAAGGAGGUCGACAAAUGGGAUGAUGUUGGGUGACGUUCACUAAGGAGGAAAAAGGUGUAGGGGUCGUUGUUUUUUUGGCGAUGGCAGCGGCAUACUUCCUUGAGCGAAGAAAGGAAUCCCCAGCCUGAAGCUUCGCACAGAUUUUGCCUAUUCUCUGAGAUGGAUGAUGAUGAGCGGUGCAACCGAAAAUUCAGAGCUGAGCUUUACACACUUCAGUGGGAGUGGCAUGACAACACCAAGGUAGAGAACUGAAGAGAAGCACAGGGACGGACCAAGGAAACUAGAACCACGCUGUCGUGAUGUGGGCCGUGUCGUCUUCGUCCAUCUCCAUGGAGUGUGUUAUAUUCUUCAGAAUGUCUUUAUGAGCAAGAACGGAUCAAUCAUAAAUUUUCAGAACGUCUCUAUUGAGUUUUUUCCUUCUAUAUCCUAUCUUCUCAGCACUUCUAGAAAGAGGUCAGACCUCCUAAUUUUUUCUUUUGUGUUCCCCAUGAUUCCGGUCCUUAUAAUUUAUCUGUUUUUGUAACAACUUUUAGCAUGUCAUAACAUUUAAUUAUGCGCUCUUAUAUUAUUAUAUUCUUACAAUCUUGUGUUUUGAAUAAUUCUUGUGGCUUGAAGUCAGAACAGUUUUAAAUAUAUCCAAAGGAUGAUAAUCGUCCGUGUCAAGUUGAGUGCACGAGAAAGAUAGAGAAAAAAUAAAGGUGAAAAGGGUCUGAGUACUGUUUCCUCACUUUUCAUGAUGUGAAUGUCCUUUAAUUCUUGUUAUUUCUAUUAAAUAAAGUAAAAUAUACUCAUGUAUAUUAAGUACUUUAAUGCAUAUUUUGAAAUUUUGUGUUCUACAGUUCAAUCAAUGAGACCAAUAGUUAGUGUAGAAACAUAUUAAACAAUUAUAGAUGUUGCCUGCACAUGAGCGCGCCCAUGGAGAAUCCAAAUUGUAUUAGAGAAAGCGAAAAAUAAUAAUUCUCAUGUUUGAGGUUCAGUUUCAUACUGGUUGCAAUUUCUUAUAGAUAGGUUAUUUUGUUGUAGGAUAAAUGGAGGUAAUAAGAUCAUAUGCUACUAAUGGGCUUGCUCUAAUCCCAAAGCUCAUUAGUGUUGGGACCAUCUUGAAAAUUAUGCUUCCACCUAUUGAUUUGUGUUGCCUUAGUUUGUUUAUAAUGUAACCAGUCCAAGGGCUGACGAGUUUUCGAGCCCUAUGACCUUUUUUUUAAGAUUGAGCCCUAUGACCUUUGUACACUCAGCUUACGUUCUACAAGGUUCAUGUGUCGUGCAGUGUUCUCGCUUUCCAAGCUACAGUCUUAUAUUAGUUUACAGAGGGAGAGAAGGAGUACUUGAAAAGAGAUUCUUUAUAUAUUGUUUGGUUCCAUCAGCCAUAUAACCUAAAAUAGCAAUUAGGUAUCUACACAGUGUAGUGUAACCAUUGUGCUUGCUGCAGUUUUACUUUAGUGUUGAAAUGCUUUUCUUAGUUUGUUCUAUAAUACGAAAUAUUUUUUUCCAGCCAUUGUUUUCUAAAUCCUAUCAGCAUAUUACCUGAUAUGGCCUUUGAAGUUUCUGUUUUAUAACGAGCUUUGCACUGGUCAGCUUGAGUAUGGUAUGGUUUAUUCUUUUCUGUUGCGGCUAUUCCAGAGAAGUUUAGAGCUCCACAACCUUCUGAAGACUUGAUUUACAGUAGCGGUGAUGAAACAAUCAAUCAAUUGAGAUUCAUCACAUGAUCUUUUUCUCUUGACAUUGAUGGGUAUCGAACCCAUAGAUCAACUUAUCAAUGGAUCUCUUGUCAGUGUUGAGAAGGUGUCACAAAAACUCAAGAGCAGUUUUAAUAUGGUCUCUUACCUUCUUACCUAUCAUGUGAAAAGAGAGGGUAAGAGGGACCAUGUCAAAAUUAGCCAAAACUCAAACACAGGGCAAUCAGCUAAGGAAAGAAGCUAAGAAGCAUCAGAAAAGGCUUUUAGGAUGGUAUAGCGGUCAAAUGCAUCCUAGGAUUGGUACUUUUAAGAAUUAUGGUGUGUUUUGCUCCUUUUUUGUUUACCUUAGCCACAUAGGUUAGCCUCAAUUCAUUAUUAUCCUUCUAUUUAGAGUAGGUGCAGAACUAACACUUACCUAGGUUGUGAGAGCUGAUGAUGAUGAUUCUAUUAAAACUCCUUGCUAGCUGCACCGUUUGUCUCUGUAAACAAUAUAACUAAGGGCAUAUGGUUUCCAAUGUGACUAAGAUCUAAAUUCUUGCUGAGUGUAGUUUCUAAAGCAUAGAGUUGCUGAAAAAUUGAAAUACAUUCUUAAUUGGCCUGUACAUCUUAUACACAUGUUUUUUUCAAGCUCAUAUUUCUUAGCGUGAUAACCAUACUUUCAACUAAAAAAAUGCUUCCUUAAUUGGUUUGUACAUGUUAUACAAAUAUGAUUUUUAAACUCACAUUUUCAGGGUGAUAAACAUAUUUUCAAUAUAGCAUGAUUUAACACAUGGGCUUUCUACUACCAAUAUCGAAUAUGUCCUUGCAAAAUGAAACUAUUUUUCUCGAUAACAUGGCUUUAAUGGGUCUCUGCGCCAUUUGGCGCAACGGAUCAACUAGUAAUAAGAAAAUGUGGGAAGAAUGCUUGCCUCAUAUUGAAUUUGCUUAUAAUCAUUCAUUGCAUU
This is a long non-coding RNA of Triticum dicoccoides, 3439 nucleotides long. RefSeq lists it as uncharacterized. NCBI's taxonomy places the organism in Eukaryota, Viridiplantae, Streptophyta, Magnoliopsida, Poales, Poaceae. The transcript has 8 exons. The record is from RefSeq and is a predicted model, not a curated record.